Molecule: ribosomal RNA, 253 nt
Filed under: uncultured bacterium
Lineage: Bacteria
Description: partial 16S ribosomal RNA
Rfam family: Bacterial small subunit ribosomal RNA
Source: RNAcentral
UACGGAGGGUGCAAACGUUGCUCGGAAUUAUUGGGCGUAAAGAGCGCGCAGGCGGUCGUUCAAGUCGAGUGUGAAAGCCCCCGGCUCAACUGGGGAGGGUCACUCGAUACUGAUCGACUCGAAGGCAGAAGAGGGAAGCGGAAUUCCCGGUGUAGUGGUGAAAUGCGUAGAUAUCGGGAGGAACACCAGUGGCGAAGGCGGCUUUCUGGUCUGCUCUUGACGCUGAGGCGCGAAAGCUAGGGUAGCAAACGGG